This 208-nucleotide long non-coding RNA is filed under the name Vigna radiata. RNAcentral's name for it is "long non-coding RNA (VRAD_LNC003172)". The record is from RNAcentral. Lineage: Eukaryota; Viridiplantae; Streptophyta; Magnoliopsida; Fabales; Fabaceae.
UUGGAUUCAAAGUGUGGUUGGCAUAACCCUGCUCACACCAAAACAAAAGCGGAUAGUUUUCUCAACAAAUGUCCUUUGUUUGUGCAGAGAUUCUUCCUCAAGCCCUAAAAAAAGACAACGAAUUAUUUAAUCAUUCAAAUGUACUUUUUAAAUCACUUAUGCAACUUUACACACCUUUAAGUAAGUUCGAAAAUAGUGAUUGAAUUUG